RNAcentral lists this ribosomal RNA (490 nucleotides) under uncultured bacterium. RNAcentral's name for it is "partial 16S ribosomal RNA". It matches the Rfam family "Bacterial small subunit ribosomal RNA", at positions 30 to 507 of the family's 1533-position model. The record is from RNAcentral.
AUUGAACGCUGGCGGCAGGCCUAACACAUGCAAGUCGAACGGUAACAGGAAGAAGCUUGCUUCUUUGCUGACGAGUGGCGGACGGGUGAGUAAUGUCUGGGAAACUGCCUGAUGGAGGGGGAUAACUACUGGAAACGGUAGCUAAUACCGCAUAACGUCGCAAGACCAAAGAGGGGGACCUUCGGGCCUCUUGCCAUCGGAUGUGCCCAGAUGGGAUUAGCAAGUAGGUGGGGUAACGGCUCACCUAGGCGACGAUCCCUAGCUGGCCUGAGAGGAUGACCAGCCACACUGGAACUGAGACACGGUCCAGACUCCGACGGGAGGCAGCAGUGGGGAAUAUUGCACAAUGGGCGCAAGCCUGAUGCAGCCAUGCCGCGUGUAUGAAGAAGGCCUUCGGGUUGUAAAGUACUUUCAGCGGGGAGGAAGGGAGUAAAGUUAAUACCUUUGCUCAUUGACGUUACCCGCAGAAGAAGCACCGGCUAACUCCGUG